This 235-nucleotide long non-coding RNA is filed under the name Salmo trutta (river trout). Its description in RNAcentral is "lncRNA (ENSSTUG00000040162.1)". The record is from RNAcentral. Lineage: Eukaryota; Metazoa; Chordata; Actinopteri; Salmoniformes; Salmonidae.
GGUCAACCUCUAGCUACAUUACACUGUUACUAUGUGGUCGACCCCUAGCUACAUUACACUGUUACUAUGUGGUCGACCCCUAGCUACAUUACACUGUUACUAUGUGGUCAACCCCUAGCUACAUUACACUGUUACUAUGUGGUCGACCCCUAGCUACAUUACACUGUUACUAUGUGGUCACCCCUAGCUACAUUACACUGUUACUAUGUGGUCAACCUCUAGCUACAUUACACUG